CAAUAGCGUAUAUUAAAGUUGUUGCAGUUAAAAAGCUCGUAGUUGGAUUUGUGGCGUACGGUGUGUUCCGGGCACUUGUUGUCUGAGUAACCUGCUGUUGCCAUCCUUGGGUGGAACCUGUGUGGCAUUAGGUUGUCGUGCAGGGGAUGCCCAUCAUUUACUGUGAAAAAAUUAGAGUGUUCAAAGCAGGCUUAUGCCGUUGAAUAUAUUAGCAUGGAAUAAUGAGAUAGGACUUUUUUGCUAUUUUGUUGGUUUGCGCAAAGAGGUAAUGAUUAAUAGGGACAGUUGGGGGUAUUCGUAUUCCAUUGUCAGAGGUGAAAUUCUCGGAUUUUUGGAAGACGAACUACUGCGAAAGCAUUUACCAAGGAUGUUUUCAUUAA
This 380-nucleotide ribosomal RNA is filed under the name uncultured eukaryote. RNAcentral's name for it is "partial 18S ribosomal RNA". It matches the Rfam family "Eukaryotic small subunit ribosomal RNA", at positions 592 to 976 of the family's 1831-position model. The record is from RNAcentral.